UCUCCGUUGGUGAACCAGCGGAGGGAUCAUUACAGGACUCGCAAGACUCCUUUCACCCUGUGAACUCACUAUAAACACGUUGCCUCGGCGGGUGCCGCGGCGGGGGUCUCCCCCGUCAAGGUCCGCCGGCGGCCUCUACCACUCUGUUAUUUUUUUGAAUUCUCGAGAAACGCAAACAAGUUAAAACUUUCAACAACGGAUCUCUUGGUUCUGGCAUCGAUGAAGAACGCAGC
Molecule: unclassified non-coding RNA, 233 nt
Filed under: uncultured fungus
Lineage: Eukaryota; Fungi
Description: sequence contains ITS1, 5.8S rRNA gene
Rfam family: 5.8S ribosomal RNA (bases 185-233)
Source: RNAcentral